Molecule: unclassified non-coding RNA, 305 nt
Filed under: fungal sp.
Lineage: Eukaryota; Fungi
Description: partial internal transcribed spacer region
Rfam family: Eukaryotic small subunit ribosomal RNA (bases 1-46)
Source: RNAcentral
AAGUCGUAACAAGGUUUCCGUAGGUGAACCUGCGGAAGGAUCAUUACAAAUCCGUGUGUGGUAUGAGAGAUGUUGAUCUGUGAUGUUGGGUGUGUAUAGUGAGUGUGGUGUGAUAGAGACACGUAGUGACAGACAUUCAGACAGUGUCCAUUUGGAUACUUUGCUUGUCUGUGUCCAUGUGUGUCUAUCAUGCUAACUCUUAUAUCACCCAAAAACCCUAACCCUAGUGAUGCAUGUUGUCGAAUGAGAUUAUACACACACAGAAACAAACAGCACAACUUAUAACAAUGGAUCUCUAGGCUCUU